This 439-nucleotide ribosomal RNA is filed under the name uncultured bacterium. RNAcentral's name for it is "bacterial SSU rRNA". It matches the Rfam family "Bacterial small subunit ribosomal RNA", at positions 954 to 1392 of the family's 1533-position model. The record is from RNAcentral.
AUGGGAACGCGAAGAACCUUACCUACUCUUGACAUCCAGAGAACUUAGCAGAGAUGCUUUGGUGCCUUCGGGAACUCUGAGACAGGUGCUGCAUGGCUGUCGUCAGCUCGUGUUGUGAAAUGUUGGGUUAAGUCCCGCAACGAGCGCAACCCUUAUCCUUUGUUGCCAGCGGUCCGGCCGGGAGCUCAAAGGAGACUGCCAGUGAUAAACUGGAGGAAGGUGGGGAUGACGUCAAGUCAUCAUGGCCCUUACGAGUAGGGCUACACACGUGCUACAAUGGCGCAUACAAAGAGAAGCGACCUCGCGAGAGCAAGCGGACCUCAUAAAGUGCGUCGUAGUCCGGAUUGGAGUCCGCAACUCGACUCCAUGAAGUCGGAAUCGCUAGUAAUCGUAGAUCAGAAUGCUACGGUGAAUACGUUCCCGGGUCUUGUACACACCG